RNAcentral lists this ribosomal RNA (301 nucleotides) under uncultured bacterium. RNAcentral describes it as "partial 16S ribosomal RNA". It matches the Rfam family "Bacterial small subunit ribosomal RNA", at positions 509 to 809 of the family's 1533-position model. The record is from RNAcentral.
CAGUAGCCGCGGUAAUACAGAGGGUGCGAGCGUUGUCCGGAAUUAUUGGGCGUAAAGCGCGCGCAGGUGGUUCCUUAAGUCUGAUGUGAAAGCCCACGGCUCAACCGUGGAGGGUCAUUGGAAACUGGGGGACUUGAGUGCAGAAGAGGAAAGUGGAAUUCCAAGUGUAGCGGUGAAAUGCGUAGAUAUUUGGAGGAACACCAGUGGCGAAGGCGACUUUCUGGUCUGUAACUGACACUGAGGCGCGAAAGCGUGGGGAGCAAACAGGAUUAGAUACCCCUGUAGUCCCUGUCUCUUAUAA